This 499-nucleotide ribosomal RNA is filed under the name uncultured bacterium. RNAcentral describes it as "partial 16S ribosomal RNA". It matches the Rfam family "Bacterial small subunit ribosomal RNA", at positions 899 to 1397 of the family's 1533-position model. The record is from RNAcentral.
ACUCAAAUGAAUUGACGGGGGCCCGCACAAGCGGUGGAGCAUGUGGUUUAAUUCGACGCAACGCGAAGAACCUUACCUAGGUUAAAUCCGCCCGAACCUUACAGAGAUGUAGGGGUGCUCUUCGGAGAAUGGGCGAGAAGGUGCUGCAUGGCUGUCGUCAGCUCGUGUCGUGAGAUGUUGGGUUAAGUCCCGCAACGAGCGCAACCCUUGUCUUUAGUUGCGACACUUUCGGGUGAGCACUCUAGAGAGACCGCCGGCGUUAAGCCGGAGGAAGGUGGGGAUGACGUCAAGUCCUCAUGGCCCUUAUGCCUAGGGCUACACACGUGCUACAAUGGCCGGUACAAAGGGUUGCGAAGCCGCGAGGUGAAGCUAAUCCCAAAAAACCGGUCUCAGUUCAGAUAGAAGUCUGCAACCCGACUUCUUGAAGUUGGAAUCGCUAGUAAUCCCGGAUCAGCAUGCCGGGGUGAAUACGUUCCCGGGCCUUGCACACACCGCCCGU